CUCUCUCGGCCUCCCCUCCUGCCUGCCUCCCCGCUGCCCGGGACCCUGGUGCUUCUCAGAGGCCGCAGGAGCCUCUCCGCCUCAAGGUCACCCUCAAGGUCAGCGCCGAGCGGCCGGACUCCCGCUGCAGCCUCCACUGCCCUCGCCCUGAGGCCGCACCUGCUCCCAGUUCCUGGGGAUGGGGGCGGGGCGGGGCCCACGGAGCAGAAAAUGAAGGGUCCUCCCUCCCUCCAGCUGAUGGACGGAAACCCCACCUGCGGCCAGACAUCCCUGAGCUCUGAACCACCACCGGCCCCUGCCAAACACCCUGAGCUCCCAUCCCGAAGUGCCUAGGCCCCUAAACACCCAUCAGCGUGUCCCCUCUCCUCCCCUUACAGUGCCUGUGCCCCGCCCUCGCUCUCUUCCGCUCUCUCUGGAAGCAGCGGCAGUGGUUCUCCCUCCAAUAAAGCCUGUGUCCUGCCAUCCCGGUUUCUGGCCCGUUUCAUCUUUCAGAAAUGAGUCUGAAUGAACCCUGCCUUCUGGGGUGGGGGUGCCCCACAGGCGGGAGGAGGCAGGCCGGGGCUGGGACUCACAGGUCACGGGGGGUGGGGGGGGGGCAGGCAGGGCUGGGAAUGGCAGUGCCCCUGGGAAAGGAACAAAUCUGAUUUACUGAGGCAGAGCAGCUGGGGGCUGGGGCGAGGGGCGGGGCCUCCGCAGGCCCAGGAAGGGAGGCUGUGCGGUCGGUCGGUCGGUUGGUCGGUCAGCUCCUGUGGAGCUGGAUGCUGGAGGGACUCGGGGGGCGCGAGCAGGGACAGCAGGGCGGUGGGGGCUCCCCGGGGGGCUCAGUCGAGCUGCAGCCAGCUGUUCUUCUCCUCCACCUCCUUGGUCACCACCA
Long non-coding RNA from Pipistrellus kuhlii (Kuhl's pipistrelle), 874 nucleotides. RefSeq lists it as uncharacterized. The transcript has 2 exons. The record is from RefSeq and is a predicted model, not a curated record. Lineage: Eukaryota; Metazoa; Chordata; Mammalia; Chiroptera; Vespertilionidae.